This 68-nucleotide transfer RNA is filed under the name Pupilla muscorum. Its description in RNAcentral is "tRNA-Ala". The record is from RNAcentral. Lineage: Eukaryota; Metazoa; Mollusca; Gastropoda; Stylommatophora; Pupillidae.
GGUUAAGUAUUUUAUAAUUAGAAAGUAUAUUUUGCAAGUAUAAAGAAAACCAAAAGGUUUUUUAACCA